GUCAUUUAGAGGAAGUAAAAGUCGUAACAAGGUUUCCGUAGGUGAACCUGCGGAAGGAUCAUUACCGAAUUGUCAACAAGAGUUGUUGCUGGUCCUCAAACGGGGGCAUGUGCACGCUCUGUUAACACAUCCACUCACACCCUGUGCACCCUNUGUGGUUCUGUGGUUGGGGGGGCCUUCGUCCUCCUGCCGUGGUUCCACAUCUUUACACACACACUGUAACAAAGUCUCAUGGAAUGCAUAUGCGUUUAACGCGAUACAAUACAACUUUCAGCAACGGAUCUCUUGGCUCUCGCAUCGAUGAAGAACGCAGCGAAAUGCGAUAAGUAAUGUGAAUUGCAGAAUUCAGUGAAUCAUNGAAUCUUUGAACGCACCUUGCGCCCUUUGGCCAUUCCGAAGGGCAUGCCUGUUUGAGUAUCAUGAACACCUCAACUCUUCAUGGUUUUCUGUGAUGAGCUUGGACUUUGGGGGUUUUGCUGGCCUAUGGCCGGCUCCUCUAAAAUGAAUCAGCUUUCCAGUGUUUGGUGGGCGUCACAGGUGUGAUAACUAUCUACGCUUGUGGUUUUCCCACCAGGUAACCUUCAGCAGUGGAGGUUC
RNAcentral lists this small RNA (597 nucleotides) under uncultured Thelephoraceae. RNAcentral's name for it is "eukaryotic LSU rRNA". The stretch from base 266 to 420 matches the Rfam family "5.8S ribosomal RNA". Lineage: Eukaryota; Fungi; Basidiomycota; Agaricomycetes; Thelephorales; Thelephoraceae. The record is from RNAcentral.